GAUGAACGCUAGCGGCAGGCCUAACACAUGCAAGUCGAGGGGCAUCAUGGCGUAGCAAUACGCUGAUGGCGACCGGCGCACGGGUGCGUAACGCGUAUGGAACCUACCCACCGCAGGGGGAUAACCCGCCGAAAGGCGGACUAAUACCCCAUGGUUCCCCGACCCUGCCUGGGGUUGGGGGUAAAGCCUACGGGCGGCGGUGGAUGGCCCUGCGUGCCAUUAGCUGGCUGGUGGGGUAACGGCCCACCAGGGCGACGAUGGCUAGGGGGUCUGAGAGGACGAUCCCCCACACUGGUACUGAGACACGGACCAGACUCCUACGGGAGGCAGCAGUGAGGAAUAUUGGUCAAUGGGGGCAACCCUGACGCAGCAACGCCGCGUGAGUGAGGAAGGUUUUCGGACCGUAAAGCUCUGUCGAGCGGGAAGAAAUGUAUCGUGGCUAAUAUCCAUGAUAUUUGACGGUACCGCUAAAGGAAGCACCGGCUAACUCCGUG
This 494-nucleotide ribosomal RNA is filed under the name uncultured bacterium. RNAcentral's name for it is "bacterial SSU rRNA". It matches the Rfam family "Bacterial small subunit ribosomal RNA", at positions 28 to 507 of the family's 1533-position model. The record is from RNAcentral.